Molecule: ribosomal RNA, 497 nt
Filed under: uncultured bacterium
Lineage: Bacteria
Description: partial 16S ribosomal RNA
Rfam family: Bacterial small subunit ribosomal RNA
Source: RNAcentral
GAUGAACGCUGGCGGCGUGCCUAAUACAUGCAAGUCGAGCGAACGGACGAGAAGCUUGCUUCUCUGAUGUUAGCGGCGGACGGGUGAGUAACACGUGGAUAACCUACCUAUAAGACUGGGAUAACUUCGGGAAACCGGAGCUAAUACCGGAUAAUAUUUUGAACCGCAUGGUUCAAAAGUGAAAGACGGUCUUGCUGUCACUUAUAGAUGGAUCCGCGCUGCAUUAGCUAGUUGGUAAGGUAACGGCUUGCCAAGGCAACGAUGCAUAGCCGACCUGAGAGGGUGAUCGGCCACACUGGAACUGAGACACGGUCCAGACUCCUACGGGAGGCAGCAGUAGGGAAUCUUCCGCAAUGGGCGAAAGCCUGACGGAGCAACGCCGCGUGAGUGAUGAAGGUCUUCGGAUCGUAAAACUCUGUUAUUAGGGAAGAACAUAUGUGUAAGUAACUGUGCACAUCUUGACGGUACCUAAUCAGAAAGCCACGGCUAGCUACGUG